Long non-coding RNA from Lathyrus oleraceus (garden pea), 1293 nucleotides. RefSeq lists it as uncharacterized. Lineage: Eukaryota; Viridiplantae; Streptophyta; Magnoliopsida; Fabales; Fabaceae. The record is from RefSeq and is a predicted model, not a curated record. The transcript is spliced from 3 exons.
AAAAAAUAUCAUCACCAUAGCCCUAUAAAUUUAGCAGUAAUGAGUUCAUUUUUAUUUUUCCCUAUCAUGUUUCAACCACCUUCUGCUUUCUAUCAUCCGAUUUUUGGAGAAAUAGAGAGGGCGCUCUAUUAAAGAAUACUUUAUACAAAUAUUAGAUUCGGGUCUUUUUUCUUGCUCUAUCCAUCUUGUGGCAGUAACUUCAUACAUAGUCUCCAUGAAACUGAUGCACAAAAAGCCAGAUCAUCCUAGUCAUACAAAAAUCCGGCAGCCAAAUGUUCCAAAAUCAACUGUCCCACAUGAUACCUAUUUUUAGUGGUUCACCAGCUUUGAAGCUACUAUUAGAAACCUCAAUGUAAGGGUAUGAACCAAAGCAUGUGUUCAAAGAAUUUUGGUGCAGUCAAUAUGGAAUCUAAAGAAGGUAAAGCCAACUCAUGUUGACAUUGACUUGGAAAAAGAAUAUUUGGUGGAAGGUCUUCAAACCAAUAGAGUUAGUGGCAUUGAUUCACCUAACUUCAUAUAAGAACCAUUAGAUAGGAAAAAGUGUGAUUAGAAAUUCACAAUGAGGGGCAUAUUGCGCAUCAAGAUAGACUCGAACACCAGACACAAAGCAGACAUGUAGACAACGAUAGUAAAUUAAGAAAAUAAAGUGAUUGAAUGUAACCAUAAAAAUAAAGUGAUUGAAUGUAACCAUAUGUGUCGGUGACAUAUUGACACAAUAUCAGACGUCAGACACGCCUUUAAUUUGAAGUGUCGGUGCUAUAUAUCAAAAUAAAAAAUGAUGAGCAUACCUGUGAGUAUAAGAAGGUUCCAAAUACGGCAAUUGCGGCUCCGAGAGCAUUGACGGGCUGAAUUGGUGUGUGGAAGAUGAUAAUUGAAGAGACUAUGACCGAUAUACGUUUCAUGGUGUUUCCAAUGCUAAACGUCAAAGGAGAGAUCUCAUCCAACGACAUGUAAGACACCUGAUUGUAUAGAUGAUAGAAUAUACUCUGAGCUGCUACCCACCUGUUGCAUACAUUUAUCAGUCAUAGUUUUAGUCAUAACAUCGAGAGAUCGUGCUUUUUCCGAACAAAAUGAUAAACAGAGGUGAGUAAACAAAUUACAUAAUCAGAAAAACAAACAAACUCGGUUUUGUCACAAAAGAACAUUUUUCAUGUAUAAUGUAGCAUUAAUUCUGUCAUAAUCACAUAACAAAAAUUGAAUGCUGUAGUUCUUUAGGUCCAUUCGACCUUUCAUACCGAUGUUAUGUGUGUGUUUGAAAAUCAAAUGAAUCAAUGAUUUAAACCAUAUACACUA